This 464-nucleotide ribosomal RNA is filed under the name uncultured bacterium. RNAcentral's name for it is "bacterial SSU rRNA". It matches the Rfam family "Bacterial small subunit ribosomal RNA", at positions 29 to 524 of the family's 1533-position model. The record is from RNAcentral.
AACGAACGCUGGCGGCAGGCCUAACACAUGCAAGUCGAACGCCGUAGCAAUACGGAGUGGCAGACGGGUGAGUAACGCGUGGGAACAUACCCCUCGGUUCGGAAUAACUUAGGGAAACUUGAGCUAAUACCGGAUACGUCCGAGGUUUUAACCGGCCUCGGAGAAAGAUUUAUCGCCGGAGGAUUGGCCCGCGUCUGAUUAGCUUGUUGGUGAGGUAAUGGCUCACCAAGGCGACGAUCAGUAGCUGGUCUGAGAGGAUGAUCAGCCACAUUGGGACUGAGACACGGCCCAAACUCCUACGGGAGGCAGCAGUGGGGAAUAUUGGACAAUGGGCGAAAGCCUGAUCCAGCCAUGCCGCGUGAGUGAUGAAGGCCUUAGGGUUGUAAAGCUCUUUACCCGGGAAGAUAAUGACGGUACCGGGAGAAUAACGCCCCGGCUAACUUCGUGCCAGCAGCCGCAGUAAC